Long non-coding RNA from Lolium rigidum, 867 nucleotides. RefSeq lists it as uncharacterized. Lineage: Eukaryota; Viridiplantae; Streptophyta; Magnoliopsida; Poales; Poaceae. The transcript has 3 exons. The record is from RefSeq and is a predicted model, not a curated record.
CGGAGUUGGGUCCCCACAAGCACACGAGGAGGAGGCCGCCGUUACCUUGCCCCACCAUGGGCCGCUGCCUCACCCAGCGAGCAUCUUUUUCUUCUGCAUCUUCGUCCACCGCGCCGCGUGAAGAGACGAGGCCCUGCCAUCCGCCCUUUCUCGUAUUAUCAGGUUGAUCUGCAACGUGGCUGAUAAUCCACUUCAUCUACCUGCUUUAACCAUUUUUGGAGCCAAUAAAUAAGAGGUUCCUUUCAUUCGGGAGAUGCACAAGGCAUCGGUGCUGGAGCUCUGUACGACAGCACGGGCGUUGGGGCAGAGGUAGGUCGAGUGGAGAUCCUUUUCUAGCUUGGACGACCCGUGCAUCAUGUAGGAGGAGGGAAAGCAGCAUCAACGAUUCCAUGGUUCAAAGCUGAUGACGGGGAGAGGAGGUGGUGUACGGAGGGGUAGGCAGAGAAGGUGACACCUCCGAGGAGCAGUGUUCAGCUUUCACCACAGCAAGUACCCUCAUCCAUGUCCUCUUCAUCGCUGAAGACGCCGACGAACAGUGCACGGCCAACCCUCCUCUGCAUCUUAUUUUUAAGGUUCUUCUUUCUCUCUGUGUCAAACGUGCUCUCCUAGAGGUUGAGAUAGAAGUGGAGGCAUACUCUUCUUUAAUUUAAGAUCCUGAACAUCACGUUUUGGUUUAUGGGGAUCCGUUUCUAAUGCUUACACCGUGUUUCAUAAAGUGACAAAUUAGCUCAUGUUUCAUCUCUAGGUUAAAUAAGAUGCCAAUAUAUUUUGGCUUCUCGGUUACAGUGGUCGGUUAGGUGUUAUUGUGCCGCUGGGUUGCUCUCCGUGCUGAUGCUUGCUAAUAUUUGACCCAAAAUUCAAUUUAAC